RNAcentral lists this long non-coding RNA (786 nucleotides) under Bos taurus (domestic cattle). RNAcentral's name for it is "long non-coding RNA NONBTAT017168". The record is from RNAcentral. Lineage: Eukaryota; Metazoa; Chordata; Mammalia; Artiodactyla; Bovidae.
GAUAAACAUAAACCUUGAGGGGUGGACAGCACUGGCCUAGAUGUUUACCCCACUCUGCCAUUUGUCACCAGAAGUCCUUAAAUCUGACUGUGUCUGCUGGUUUGCCUCUGGGGGUUGCUGACUUCAAGCUGUGUGAAGUCAGUAGUUACUUGAACCAUGUGUGUUUAGGGAGGUGAGGAGUGGGGUGUGUUUGUUUCUAUCAGUCUGUCUUUGUACACUCUGGGACUCUGAACCCCACCCAGGAGUGGGCUGGCCUUACCUCUAAGGAAUGGGGAUGAGUCCUGGUUGAGACAGUUUAGGUGAAAGGAUUUAGAAGGUACCUACACCACAUGUUGGCGCUGAGUCCUCCAAGUUAUUAGUCAUUUUUUGGAGGCAGGCUUCCUGUGCGGAUUAAGAUUUUUAGGAGUUGUAGCAACCUCAAAUUAAAUUUGACACAAACUCUUACUUUCUCUUGGUUAGAGAUGUUUGUAAUCUGAGAUUACAUACCCUGAGAUGUUUGAUAUAAAGAACCCGUGUUUGUCAUUCUUUUUUUUUGCCAUUCUUUAUAUCAGUGGUUUGGCUUCACUGGGGGCAGUUCCUUUCAUUUUCUUUCCCCCUCAACCUAUUUUUAGCAUCUGAUCUCCCUGCUUCCUCCCUGGGCUUUCAGAAUCCCAUCCCUGGUAUUAAAUUAAUUGUCUCCCCCAACACACACAGGUCCCAUUCUCUCAUGGGCAUCAACUUAGAGCUCCUCUGAACUCAGCCUUGGUCAGUUGACAAGGCCAUGCAUUAAUUAUCUGUGGACUGUGU